GACGAACGCUGGCGGCGUGCUUAACACAUGCAAGUCGAACGGAAAGGCCCUGCUUUUGUGGGGUGCUCGAGUGGCGAACGGGUGAGUAACACGUGAGUAACCUGCCCUUGACUUUGGGAUAACUUCAGGAAACUGGGGCUAAUACCGGAUAGGAGCUCCUGCUGCAUGGUGGGGGUUGGAAAGUUUCGGCGGUUGGGGAUGGACUCGCGGCUUAUCAGCUUGUUGGUGGGGUAGUGGCUUACCAAGGCUUUGACGGGUAGCCGGCCUGAGAGGGUGACCGGCGACGGGUGGACGGAGAGGCGGGCCGGACGCGGGCGGCGGGCAGUGGGGGGAAGGACAGCAUCAUGGACGGGAGCCGGGGGCGGGAGAGCGGGGGGGGGGGGGACGGCCGUGGGGUUGGAGCCAGCUGGCGGGGGGGGGGCGGCGUGCGUGAGGGUGAGAGCUAAAGAACCACGGGCUAACGACGGGCCAGCAGGCGCGGUAAUAGAGGAACGGCCCACGUCUGACC
Molecule: ribosomal RNA, 508 nt
Filed under: uncultured bacterium
Lineage: Bacteria
Description: partial 16S ribosomal RNA
Rfam family: Bacterial small subunit ribosomal RNA (bases 20-329)
Source: RNAcentral